GAUGAACGCUCGCGGCAGGCCUAACACAUGCAAGUCGAGGGAGGAGCCUUCGGGCUUCGACCGGCGUACGGGUGCGUAACGCGUAUACAAUCUGCCUUUCACAUAGGGAUAGCCCGAAGAAAUUUGGAUUAAUACCUAAUGGUAUAUAGAUGUGGCAUCACCUUUAUAUUAAAGCUGAGGCGGUGAAAGAUGAGUAUGCGUUCUAUUAGCUAGUUGGAGAGGUAACGGCUCCCCAAGGCGACGAUAGAUAGGGGUUCUGAGAGGGAUAUCCCCCACACUGGUACUGAGAUACGGACCAGACGCCUACGGGAGGCAGCAGUGAGGAAUAGUGGACAAUGGUCGGAAGACUGAUCCAGCCAUGCCGCGUGCAGGAAGACGGCCUUAUGGGUUGUAAACUGCUUUUGCAGGGGAAGAAUAAGGACUACGCGUAGUUUGAUGACGGUACUCUGCGAAUAAGCAUCGGCUAACUCCGUG
This 474-nucleotide ribosomal RNA is filed under the name uncultured bacterium. Its description in RNAcentral is "partial 16S ribosomal RNA". It matches the Rfam family "Bacterial small subunit ribosomal RNA", at positions 28 to 507 of the family's 1533-position model. The record is from RNAcentral.